This 253-nucleotide ribosomal RNA is filed under the name uncultured bacterium. RNAcentral's name for it is "partial 16S ribosomal RNA". It matches the Rfam family "Bacterial small subunit ribosomal RNA", at positions 524 to 776 of the family's 1533-position model. The record is from RNAcentral.
UACGUAGGUGGCAAGCGUUGUCCGGAUUUACUGGGCGUAAAGGGCGUGCAGGCGGUUUGUUAAGUGCAGGGUGAAAGCUCCCGGCUCAACUGGGAGAGGUCCUUGCAUACUGGCAAACUCGAGGGAGGCAGAGGAAAGUGGAAUUCCCGGUGUAGUGGUGAAAUGCGUAGAUAUCGGGAGGAACACCAGUGGCGAAGGCGACUUCUUGGCCUGUUCUUGACGCUGAGGCGCGAAGGCCAGGGGAGCAAACGGG